RNAcentral lists this unclassified non-coding RNA (318 nucleotides) under Hevea brasiliensis (rubber tree). The record is from RNAcentral. Lineage: Eukaryota; Viridiplantae; Streptophyta; Magnoliopsida; Malpighiales; Euphorbiaceae.
UUUUAAAAAAAAAAAAAAAAAGAAUAUAUUAACUUAACAAACUACAUACAAGUUUUAUCAACCAGGAAAAAGAAGAUAGUACUAAGAUUUUUGGCACUUUGCAAACCCCACUUGAUGGGGUCUAUCAUAAACAGAAAGUGAAAAGGGCGGGACAUGGUAUUCAGUACCAUUUUGCGGUAUCAACUCUUUACUUUCACUGUUUACAAGUGAACCUGUUUCCAAGGAUUCACUCUCUUGUACUUCAGGGCUCACUUUUCCAAUUGCAUCUUCUUCAGCGACAAAAGAGGUGGUGACACUGACAAGUGGGAAUAUUGCAAU